RNAcentral lists this transfer RNA (72 nucleotides) under Pestalotiopsis fici W106-1. RNAcentral's name for it is "tRNA-Arg (TCG) (tRNA-Arg-TCG-1-1)". It matches the Rfam family "tRNA". Rfam says of the family: Transfer RNA (tRNA) molecules are approximately 80 nucleotides in length. Their secondary structure includes four short double-helical elements and three loops (D, anti-codon, and T loops). Lineage: Eukaryota; Fungi; Ascomycota; Sordariomycetes; Amphisphaeriales; Sporocadaceae. The record is from RNAcentral.
GGCCGGGUGGCGAAAUGGUAUCGCGUCAGAUUUCGGCUCUGAAGAUUGUGGGUUCGAAUCCCAUCUCGGUCG